Molecule: non-coding RNA, 2874 nt
Organism: Styela clava
Lineage: Eukaryota; Metazoa; Chordata; Ascidiacea; Stolidobranchia; Styelidae
Source: RefSeq, a predicted model, not a curated record
AUGUUUAAUUGAGCCUAGAAUGGGUAUCCUGUUAUCUUUCAUAAAAAUUUAUUAAACAUAAAUUAACGAACCAACCACAAUGGAUAAAGUAGAAAUUAGACACAGAUCCCGAUACCCGUGACACGGAAUAUGAAUGGCUUCAUUGGCAAAAGACCCUCGAAAUUUUCUGGGAAGCUUUACCCACUGAAGGACUGGAUAAAUUGACAGUCGUCUUGACAUUUCAGCGAUGAUACCACAUUCAACAUUGGCUACUAUUCAUGACAAACCAUAUACUCAUGUUGGAUACGUUCCGUCUACAUUACGAUAAGCCACUGCUUUGGUAGAGGCAUGUUUGUAAUCGGUUUAAUCUUCAAGAUGAGAUCUGGUAGUUACUCCCUCGACAUGUUCGACGGAUACUCAACACUUCGGACUUUCAGUUUCUUGGAUCUUCAAACUAGAGAACUUCGAAAAUGACAUAGAGAGAAUGCUUCAUUCAAAGCCAGGAUUGUAUUGGAAAAUAUCAUGGAAAUAUACUUGCCAAUUAUCAUCGUCGUCAUCCUGGUUGCAAGCUUUGUGGACAUCUUCCUCAACCCUCAGAGUCACUACUCUUGAAACAAAGACUUAUCCGCCAUAGGCCGUGCUUAUUAUUGUAUUAUUGAUAGAAGCUCGCGAGUCUCGUCUGUUUCGGAAUUUUCUACCCGAAAUGGCUCGAUGCGAAUCCUUACGGGAGAAAAAAAGAGCCGAACAGAAUGAUAAUGAUGAAAUCGUAGUUACGGAAUCUGCGACUCGAUUGAAUUUAAAUUCGAUAUUUAUUAUCCACUUAAGUGGCAUAUUUUUUGUUAACUGAAAUUUUUCUGAUCUGUAUUUAUAUCAUCUUGGAUCUGAAACAACUAACCGCUUAUUCUCUCCCCCAUACUAGCAAUUAGACGAGGAACACCACCCCUCCUCUCUUACCCCUUAGAAUCCUCCCACUUAUAUGGCGGCUCCCCGGCUCAUUUAAGGGAGUCCCACUCCCCUCCCCCUAUUUCAAACCGAGGUUUCAAACAAAAUUGAUUUUUACUUUGCGGCAGUUUGUGGGUUUCCAAUCUAUGACAAAAUUCUGUAAAAAUCAAACCGAUCCCAACAGAUUCACUACCUCUGAUUUAUAUACUGUGCUUCUGUACCUUCAAAUUUAUUUUUCCAUCUUUUAUUGUACAAUUUGUUUCGUAUACGCAUUUUUUUGCUCGGUUGAAUUUGUUAUUUAUUCUCCUGUGUCUGUUUUCUAUUGAAGCUUAUUCUUAUUUCACAUUGAAAUUUGUAAUGUAUUGUUUUUGUCUUGUUUUGAUUGUUUUAAAUGAUUUUUUUUCUAUGAUUGGAACAAGAUAUCCAUGCUAGAAGUCGUUAAUAUUUGAAUCUGUUCAUAAUCAUUCAAAACUUGAUAAUCUAGAAUUCUUUGCAAUCAGAAAAUUGUACCUUGGCCUUUGGGUUUGAUUAAAAAUGCUAAAUUUAGCUUGAUUACACAAAAUUUCACUCGCUUGUACAAAAUUUUUUAGUUAUUUUUCAAGCUCGACUUCGACUGUAGAAUUCCGAUUUUUUUAUUGAUUGCCAAAUUAUCCAAAGCUCAUCUAUAAUUGUCGGAUACUAUUACUUUGGACUCCCAAGUGAAAGCUUUCGAUUUUAAUAAUGAAAAUUACAAAUUUAUGUUUAAAAAUCAAAAUCUACUUUAUGAGAAUUCUUUAAAACAAUCUAGAAUCCUUUAGAAAAGAAUACAAGUUCAGUCAAAAAUCUUAAAUUGAUCUCAGUCAAGAUUUGUAAGCCUUUUAUUCUUUUAAUGAAAAUUCUCACUCAAAGAAGUAUUAAUAUACACAAGUAUUUUGUAAAACUUAUGAACGGCUUCCCUCAAAUGUACACAAUUUCUUAUUCCAACUACGGUUAUUUGUUUUAUUGCCUUUUUCUUUUGAAGCUCUUUUUUUCUGUUUUACAUUGAAAUGUAGUGUCUGUUUUAAUUUUAUAUAUUUGUCGUCUGAAUCAGUUUUGUCACAAAUCUCAAUCUAAAGCAGUGGUUCCUAAAUUAUUCAGGCCAUUUCCUAUGUGGUCCUUUUGAAAAGCCCUAUGCAAGAAUGACGACUUGCCAGGUGUCUUUUUAAGAGCAUGGGUCAGACUUGGCAUAAAAUCAGUGCCCUGUCAAAUCUGCACGUUCAGAAACUUCUUUGGGGCAUAGUUUAGACCAAGCUAGAGCCCAAAUUUGGGUUUUGUUUCGCUUAUGUAUCUACUUGUCUAAAACAUUGCUCAGAAAACCAGUUUAGCAAUAAGAUUCAUGGCAUUAUUUGGAGCAAAAGCUUAGCUCAACCGAAAACUUUAUUACCUCCAAAUUCUGAUUUUUUUUUUAUAAUAUCAACUUGUUCACAGCCUUGGUUUGAGCCCAGCAAGAGGCCCAUGCCAAAACCCUAUUAUUUAUGUGUUAUGUUAUUUUGUGUUUUGCUAUCUGCUUGCCCCUCCCCCCCCCCUUUUUUUUUGAAAUGUAAAAAAUUAUCAUGACCAAUUUUUCGUAGCUUGAAACGCUUUUUAAACCCCCAAGACUCAUGUAUUCUGGUCUUCGGUCAAAACCGCUCCCAGUUUCGGUCUAACUUCGGAUACGAAACACCUUGAGGUGGCAAUAAGUUCCCGUCCAAUUAUGGCCUAUCAAGUGAAACCAAUUUAUUUGAAGCGAUGUUGUGUUGAUACUCAAAAAUACACAAUACCUCAACUUCACACAAAGUUCCCUGAAAAGUGCAAAAAUAUAUUAUUUAUUUAUAGAGGAAAUUUAACGAAAUAUUAGAAUUUUUGCUAUUUUGUGUGCCUUGUAUUUUAUUAAAUUUAAAAAAUUAACUUUGUAAUGCUUGUUUGUAAAGGAAUCUGUAAAUAAAUUGAAAAAAA